UAGGGAAUAUUAGUAAUGGGCGAAAGUCUGAUCUAGCAACACCGCGUGUGCGAAGAAGGCCUUCGGGUUGUAAAGCACUUUUUGGAAGGAUUAGGAAGGAAUGUACUUCCAGAAUAAGUCUCGGCUAACUACGUGCCAGCAGCCGCGGUAACACGUAGGAGGCAAACGUUAUCCGGAUUUACUGGGCGUAAAGCGCGUGUAGGUGGUUGUUUGCGUCGGAAGUGAAAACCUAGCGCUUAACGCUGGGCUUGCUUUCGAUACGGGAUGACUUGAGGAAGGUAGGGGAGAACGGAAUUCCUGGUGGAGCGGUGGAAUGCGCAGAUAUCAGGAGGAACACCGGUGGCGAAGGCGGUUCUCUGGACCUUUCCUGACGCUGAGGAGCGAAAGCGUGGGGAGCAAACA
RNAcentral lists this ribosomal RNA (402 nucleotides) under uncultured prokaryote. RNAcentral describes it as "bacterial SSU rRNA". It matches the Rfam family "Bacterial small subunit ribosomal RNA", at positions 355 to 774 of the family's 1533-position model. The record is from RNAcentral.